GCGGCCCGCGUCCUGCGGCCAUCGCAUCUACCCUUCACUGUACGAGCACCUUUUCGUUCUCCUUCGGCGGGGCAACCUGCCGCUGGAACCAACAACCAAACCUUUUAUUAACAGCAUUACCCGUUCCGAUACCAACAAUCAAUUACAACUUUCAACAAUGGAUCUCUUGGCUCUGGCAUCGAUGAAGAACGCAGCGAAAUGCGAUAAGUAGUGUGAAUUGCAGAAUUCAGUGAAUCAUCGAAUCUUUGAACGCACAUUGCGCCCCUUGGUAUUCCAUGGGGCAUGCCUGUUCGAGCGUCAUCUACAACCCUCAAGCCCCUGGCUUGGUGUUGGGUGUCUGUCACGCCUCCGCGCGGAGACUCGCCCCAAAUUCAUUGGCGGCGGCCCUUGCCUCCCUCUCGCGCAGCACAUUGCGCUUCUCGAGGCGUCGCGGGCCGCGCUCCACGAAGCACGCAAACCAGUCUUUGACCUCGGAUCAGGUAGGGAUACCCGCUGAACUUAAGCAUAU
RNAcentral lists this ribosomal RNA (508 nucleotides) under Ascomycota sp. Super1F1-09. RNAcentral describes it as "eukaryotic LSU rRNA". The stretch from base 147 to 300 matches the Rfam family "5.8S ribosomal RNA". The record is from RNAcentral. Lineage: Eukaryota; Fungi; Ascomycota.